GCAUCUGUAGUCUAGUGGUUAUGAUUUCUGCUUUACAUGAUAUGUUCGCAGACGGUCCCAGGUUCGAUCCCUGGUAGAUGCA
Schizosaccharomyces cryophilus OY26 is the source of this 82-nucleotide transfer RNA. It matches the Rfam family "tRNA". Rfam says of the family: Transfer RNA (tRNA) molecules are approximately 80 nucleotides in length. Their secondary structure includes four short double-helical elements and three loops (D, anti-codon, and T loops). The record is from Rfam. NCBI's taxonomy places the organism in Eukaryota, Fungi, Ascomycota, Schizosaccharomycetes, Schizosaccharomycetales, Schizosaccharomycetaceae.